This 1084-nucleotide long non-coding RNA is filed under the name Apteryx rowi (Okarito brown kiwi). RNAcentral describes it as "lncRNA (ENSARWG00000010676.1)". Lineage: Eukaryota; Metazoa; Chordata; Aves; Apterygiformes; Apterygidae. The record is from RNAcentral.
GUGGAGUUUCACAUCAGCUCUUGUCUUCCUCGAAUAAACACACCAAGCUCUGUCGAGAUCCUCUGAGAAGAAGGUUGACGUUUUCUGGUUAUUCUGGUAGCCCUUAUCAUGGUACUUUCCUGCCUCUACUGGUAAUACCUUACCUGACACCGCCUAAGUUGCACUUCCCUCUCUCAUGUCCUUAUCCUUCUCUUUUUGGACGCCCCCAUGACAGCUCCUGUGAUUACCUGAAAUGCCAGAGGUUUCUGUCCUUUGGUGUUUCCAACUGAUACUUUUUCAGCCUAGACAAGUGACCAGCCCAGCCUCUUGGGUUCACAGUAACUCCGGUGGACUCUAUUUGAGGCACUGAUGGCGCGUCUCUGCACUUGCCUGGAAGUAGCUUGAAAUCCUCCAUCAAGGAGUGUGCCGGCAAAUCAAGUCUCCCUGAAAAGAGAGAGAAAGGGAACUGUCAGGAACUUCUGAUAAGACUUCAGUUUCUGUGGAGAAUAUGACAAAACCUGGUUUCGAAACAAGCGGAAACCAUCAAUUGAAAGGAUUCUGCUAACCCUGGCACGUGAUGCUAGUUAAAGUGUUUAUUGUUGACCAUUCUUGAGAGCUAAAUUUACCAAAAGGUUUCUAACAUGUUCACGUGAGAGAGAGGGAAUGGAAGAGCCUCCGUGACCAUACGCGGCUAGUGGCUGAGCGCCAUGGCCCCGAGUGGGGCCAGCCUGGGCCAGCGGACACCCGCAGAAAACUCGCCACCCCCCAGCGCAUCGUUGCUGCCGCUCAGCAGCUUUCCCAGCCGCCGAGGCUGUCCGUGGCUGCUGGGAGAGCGUGGCCUCCUCUUAACCCGACGUACAGCAAAAAGCACGGCUGCAGAAGACGUGUCACUUGUGGAAAUAACAAACAGCAUCCAGCAGUGAACACGCAACUUUGCUCUUGUUUUUCUUGUAACACGUAUUUUAGAGGUCCUCCCAGACUGGCGCGUGGAGCCAACAGUGGUGGAGGAGAGAUCCUUCCGGGCGCCGAGGGGGCAGGUCCGAUGGAGAGGUGUCUGAGCGGGUCGGAGCGCCGCCGCAGGGGCAGAGGCACACGUCUUCCCUGA